UUACGAAAAAGGCAAACCUAUUGAAAAAUAGGGACGCAAAGCCACGGGCCUACAGCUACUAAGCCAUGGCAGCCGGUUUCCGAA
Molecule: non-coding RNA, 84 nt
Filed under: Schnuerera ultunensis
Lineage: Bacteria; Bacillati; Bacillota; Tissierellia; Tissierellales; Tepidimicrobiaceae
Description: Clostridium ultunense c-di-GMP sequence
Rfam family: c-di-GMP-I riboswitch aptamer
About the family: GEMM was predicted in a large-scale screen for bacterial structured RNA regulatory elements. Genes associated with GEMM are involved in a diverse array of functions, including chemotaxis regulation, signal transduction, secretion and chitin.
Source: RNAcentral